AUUGAACGCUGGCGGCAUGCCUUACACAUGCAAGUCGAACGGUAACAGGUCUUCGGAUGCUGACGAGUGGCGAACGGGUGAGUAAUACAUCGGAACGUGCCUAGUAGUGGGGGAUAACUACUCGAAAGAGUGGCUAAUACCGCAUGAGAGCAACGGAUGAAAGCAGGGGAUCGCAAGACCUUGUGCCACUAGAGCGGCCGAUGGCAGAUUAGGAAGUUGGUGGGAUAAAAGCUUACCAAGCCGACGAUCUGUAGCUGGUCGGGGAGGACGAUCAGCCACACUGGGACUGAGACACGGCCCAGAAUCCUACGGGAGGAAGCAGUGGGGAAUUUUGGACAAUGGGCGAAAGCCUGAUCCAGCAAUGCCGCGUGCAGGAUGAAGGCCUUCGGGUUGUAAACUGCUUUUGUACGGAACGAAAAGCCCCGGGUUAAUACCCUGGGGUCAUGACGGUACCGUAAGAAUAAGCACCGGCUAACUACGUGCCAGCCGCCGCCGUAA
Molecule: ribosomal RNA, 498 nt
Filed under: uncultured bacterium
Lineage: Bacteria
Description: partial 16S ribosomal RNA
Rfam family: Bacterial small subunit ribosomal RNA
Source: RNAcentral